Molecule: transfer RNA, 72 nt
Filed under: Paulhutchinsonia pilosicollis
Lineage: Eukaryota; Metazoa; Arthropoda; Insecta; Coleoptera; Cerambycidae
Description: tRNA-Asp
Source: RNAcentral
AAAAAUUUAGUUAAAAAAUAACAUUAGCUUGUCAAGCUAAAAUUAUUAAUCAAAAUAAAUUAAUAAUUUUUA